Molecule: transfer RNA, 85 nt
Filed under: Phycisphaerales bacterium
Lineage: Bacteria; Pseudomonadati; Planctomycetota; Phycisphaerae; Phycisphaerales
Description: tRNA-Leu
Rfam family: tRNA
About the family: Transfer RNA (tRNA) molecules are approximately 80 nucleotides in length. Their secondary structure includes four short double-helical elements and three loops (D, anti-codon, and T loops).
Source: RNAcentral
GGCCCCGUGGCGGAAUGGGAUACGCAGCGGACUUAAAAUCCGCGGCCCCGAAAGGGGCGUGUGGGUUCAACUCCCACCGGGGCCA